This 501-nucleotide ribosomal RNA is filed under the name uncultured bacterium. RNAcentral's name for it is "partial 16S ribosomal RNA". It matches the Rfam family "Bacterial small subunit ribosomal RNA", at positions 30 to 523 of the family's 1533-position model. The record is from RNAcentral.
AUUGAACGCUGGCGGCAGGCUUAACACAUGCAAGUCGAGCGGAGCGAGGGUGCUUGCACCUUAGCUUAGCGGCGGACGGGUGAGUAAUGCUUAGGAAUCUGCCUAUUAGUGGAGGACAACAUACCGAAAGGAAUGCUAAUACCGCAUACGCCCUACGGGGGAAAGCAGGGGAUCUUCGGACCUUGCGCUAAUAGAUGAGCCUAAGUCGGAUUAGCUAGUUGGUGGGGUAAAGGCCUACCAAGGCGACGAUCUGUAGCGGGUCUGAGAGGAUGAUCCGCCACACUGGGACUGAGACACGGCCCAGACUCCUACGGGAGGCAGCAGUGGGGAAUAUUGGACAAUGGGCGGAAGCCUGAUCCAGCCAUGCCGCGUGUGUGAAGAAGGCCUUUUGGUUGUAAAGCACUUUAAGCGAGGAGGAGGCUACUUAGAUUAAUACUCUGGGAUAGUGGACGUUACUCGCAGAAUAAGCACCGGCUAACUCUGUGCCAGCCGCCGCGGUAA